CCUACGUGAGGCAGCAGUGAGGAAUAUUGGUCAAUGGGCGCGAGCCUGAACCAGCCAAGUCGCGUGAGGGAAGACGGUCCUAUGGAUUGUAAACCUCUUUUGUCGGGGAGCAACAGACGCCACGCGUGGCGUUCCGAGCGUACCCGAAGAAAAAGCAUCGGCUAACUCCGUGCCAGCAGCCGCGGUAAUACGGAGGAUGCGAGCGUUAUCCGGAUUUAUUGGGUUGAAAGGGUGCGCAGGCGGAAGAUCAAGUCAGUGGUAAAAUUGAGAGGCUCAACCUCUUCGAGCCGUUGAAACUGGUUUUCUUGAGUGAGUGAGAAGUAUGCGGAAUGCGUGGUGUAGCGGUGAAAUGCAUAGAGAGCACGCAGAACUCCGAUUGCGAAGGCAGCAUACCGGCGCUCAACUGACGCUCAUGCACGAAAGUGUGGGUAUCGAACAGGAUUAGAUACCCGUGUAGUC
RNAcentral lists this ribosomal RNA (459 nucleotides) under uncultured bacterium. RNAcentral's name for it is "partial 16S ribosomal RNA". It matches the Rfam family "Bacterial small subunit ribosomal RNA", at positions 338 to 795 of the family's 1533-position model. The record is from RNAcentral.